RNAcentral lists this ribosomal RNA (460 nucleotides) under uncultured bacterium. RNAcentral describes it as "partial 16S ribosomal RNA". It matches the Rfam family "Bacterial small subunit ribosomal RNA", at positions 338 to 795 of the family's 1533-position model. The record is from RNAcentral.
CCUACGGGAGGCAGCAGUGAGGAAUAUUGGUCAAUGGACGCAAGUCUGAACCAGCCAUGCCGCGUGCAGGAAGACGGCUCUAUGAGUUGUAAACUGCUUUUGUACGAGGGUAAAUCCCGAUACGUGUAUCGGGUUGAAAGUAUCGUACGAAUAAGGAUCGGCUAACUCCGUGCCAGCAGCCGCGGUAAUACGGAGGAUUCAAGCGUUAUCCGGAUUUAUUGGGUUUAAAGGGUGCGUAGGCGGUUCGAUAAGUUAGAGGUGAAAGCCCGGGGCUCAACUCCGGCACUGCCUCUGAUACUGUCGGGCUAGAGUGUAGUUGCGGUAGGCGGAAUGUAUGGUGUAGCGGUGAAAUGCAUAGAGAUCAUGCAGAACACCGAUUGCGAAGGCAGCUUACCAAACUACGACUGACGUUGAGGCACGAAAGCGUGGGGAGCAAACAGGAUUAGAUACCCUAGUAGUC